GAUGAACGCUGGCGGCGUGCCUAAUACAUGCAAGUCGAGCGAAUGGAUUAAGAGCUUGCUCUUAUGAAGUUAGCGGCGGACGGGUGAGUAACACGUGGGUAACCUGCCCAUAAGACUGGGAUAACUCCGGGAAACCGGGGCUAAUACCGGAUAAAAUUUUGAACCGCAGGGUUCGAAAUGUAAAGGCGGCUUCGGCUGUCACUUAUGGAUGGACCCGCGUCGCAUUAGCUAGUUGGUGAGGUAACGGCUCACCAAGGCAACGAUGCGUAGCCGACCUGAGAGGGUGGUCGGCCACACUGGGACUGAGACACGGCCCAGACUCCUACGGGAGGCAGCAGUAGGGAAUCUUCCGCAAUGGACGAAAGUCUGACGGAGCAACGCCGCGUGAGUGAUGAAGGCUUUCGGGUCGUAAAACUCUGUUGUUAGGGAAGAACAAGUGCUAGUUGAAUAAGCUGGCACCUUGACGGUACCUAACCAGAAAGCCACGGCUAACUACGUGCCAGCCGCCGCGGUAA
Molecule: ribosomal RNA, 515 nt
Filed under: uncultured bacterium
Lineage: Bacteria
Description: partial 16S ribosomal RNA
Rfam family: Bacterial small subunit ribosomal RNA
Source: RNAcentral